AACAGAGAGUGUUUCUCUCACCAAUAACGCAGUUUCCAAAUUUCAAAAAGGCCUCUUAAGAUGCUCCUGCAAUGCUCUAUCUCCCCUUGUACAGUUGAUGUUCCAGUAUCUCUAAUGAAACGCAUAUUGUGGUACCAUGUUUUCUGAUACAAGGAAACCUCUAUCUGUUAUUGCCGGAACUCCUUCUAUAGACACAUACUCAGCAGUUCUGGAUACAUCCCCUCGAACGAUCCCGUGGUCUGACUCUCCACCCACUCCCUGCCACCUGGCACAGUAAAGGAAUUUGACUCAGAGAUGCUGAAUCAAUGGGAACUGUGGAUGCUCAGACUGAAACUCGGACCACAUAUACUUUGGUUGACAUUGAACACUACUAAAUGUGUUGCAUCAGAAUAAGAACAACACUUAAAGAAUUUUCCUUCUCUGAUAUGAGGGAUCUAUUCUCAUGGGCCCAAAUCUGCUGACUUUCCUCAGCUUAAUAAGUAAUAUUUUUACUAUGUUAUUAUGGGCUAAAUUCUGCUGUCCUUGUGUAAAUCCAGCCUUUCUCCACUGACAUUAACAAAUCUAAUCUGGAUUUAACCCAGUGCAUAUCAAAGUGAACAUAGCUUGACACUUGCAGAACCAUUACAUAGAAUCACAUCAUUAUGAAUUGGAGAUACAAAAUACAUAGUAACAUUAAGCAAUGGGGAACGUCUAUCAUAAUGGGCCACCAAGACCUACUCUUAUCGGCCCAAGAAAAAUAUGUCACUCUUUGCUUCAGCAUCUAUAAAUCUAGGUAGUGGACAUAUGCCUCCAUUUGUGCCUUUUCCAGAAAUAUGUCCAGCUCUUCUCCUAAAGCAAGGCUCGGGAUUUACUUCUAAUGCUGACUUUGGUAGUUUGUUAAUAUUUCCUUAUGCAGAAAUUCUGCCUAAAUUCUAACAUGCUUUCAAAUGAGUUACCAUCUGUGACCUUAAGCGCAUCCCAGUGCCAGAGGGCAAGGGGCUCACUGCUAUCAGGUAGUGAAAUUCAGCUGGUCUGACCAGUUCAACCUACCCCAAUUCACUUAUAUCAUAAUCUUUAUCUAAUAUGUGUCGUGUAAGGUAUUAUUGGAAAACCACCAAACACACUCAUCAUUCUUGCAUGGUGUAUGUACAGUAAACACCCACAGAAAUGUGAAAAAAAUAUGGGACUAAAAUAUAUUUGAACCAGACAAGUCUGGGGAGUUUUUAAACAGGUUUUUUCCAGAAAAGCUGGAGCUUCCGUCCAGGUGCAAUCACAGACAAGUUGCAAUCACAGUCAAGUGGCCAUUUAUUGGCAUAUUGGAGACUGCAGAAUUUGCAUUAUAGAAAGUACCAGCAGGGAAGAAACCAACCUGGAACCCUCUCCAUCAGAGUCCAUGGUACCUUUCCUCUCAGCAGGGGCACUGGACUUUAAAGAUACAUGUCAAAAGUUCACUGGACUACAAAAGAGAGGGGCAAAGAACUCAAGUGAUCUUUCACCUAAAAAGACAAAAGAACCAAGCAGUUUGGACUUUGUGGGAGAUCCUGACAAAGGGGGUGGUCAGCUGGAAGAAGGUGUGGUAAGACGCUUACAUUGAACCAAGACUGUAGUUUUGUUAAAUCUUAGUCACUGGGAAGGGUUUUUCACUUAUAUUUGUUUGUAACCAUU
This is a long non-coding RNA of Malaclemys terrapin pileata, 1644 nucleotides long. RefSeq lists it as uncharacterized. The transcript has 4 exons. The record is from RefSeq and is a predicted model, not a curated record. Lineage: Eukaryota; Metazoa; Chordata; Testudines; Emydidae.